Molecule: transfer RNA, 91 nt
Filed under: Clostridiales bacterium oral taxon 876 str. F0540
Lineage: Bacteria; Bacillati; Bacillota; Clostridia; Eubacteriales
Also listed under: 2 other names
Description: tRNA-Ser
Rfam family: tRNA
About the family: Transfer RNA (tRNA) molecules are approximately 80 nucleotides in length.
Source: RNAcentral
GGAGAUGUACUCAAGUGGCUCAAGAGGACGGUUUGCUAAACCGUUAGUAGGGGUAACUCUAGCAUGGGUUCGAAUCCCAUCGUCUCCGCCA